GCAGCCUCGUUUACAACCCCCAGCCUCGUUUACAACCCCCAGCCUCGUUUACAACCCCCAGCCUCGUUUACAACCCCCAGCCUCCUCCCAAAGGUGAAGCCCCCCAGCGAGGAGGAGGCCGCGGAGCAAGACGAUCGCAGCCGCGGUUUCUUCCCAAAGUCACCCGCGAAGAUUUGGAGUGAACUCCAGAGUGUGCUCAACUACGCGAUGGAGACGGGUGAGGGGGCUGGAGAUUGACUGGAGUGAACUCCAGAGUGUGCUCAACUACGCGAUGGAGACGGGUGAGGGGGCUGGAGAUUGACUGGAGUGAACUCCAGAGUGUGCUCAACUACGCGAUGGAGACGGGUGAGGGGGCUGGAGAUUGACUGGAGUGAACUCCAGAGUGUGCUCAACUACGCGAUGGAGACGGGUGAGGGGGCUGGAGAUUGACUGGAGUGAACUCCAGAGUGUGCUCAACUACGCGAUGGAGACGGAGUUCGAAUUCGAAAGCUUCAGUAAGGACAUCUACCGCUCCAUGAUCUCCAUGAUGGACAUCGACCGCUCCGGCGAACUUGGCUUGCACGAGUUCAUCCGACCCUGGACCGACAUCCGCACCUGGAAGAACUGCUUCCAGCUCUCCGACAAGGACGGAUCCUCCAAGUUGUCCUGAGCUCCGCGCGGCGCUGGCGAGCGCGGCUACAGGCUCAACAAGCACAUCUGCGACGCGCUCAUGCUGCGCUACGGCGACAAGGACGGCAACGUUACUUUUGACGACUACAUCAUGUG
Hyalella azteca is the source of this 765-nucleotide long non-coding RNA. RefSeq lists it as uncharacterized. The transcript is spliced from 3 exons. Lineage: Eukaryota; Metazoa; Arthropoda; Malacostraca; Amphipoda; Hyalellidae. The record is from RefSeq and is a predicted model, not a curated record.